GAGGUGUGUACAAUGCCCGGGAACGUAUUCUCCGCGGCGGCUGGGACAAUCAAUAUUGAAUUCUAUCCACAAUGUACACGAUGAAUGCUAGGUGUAGGAGGUAUCGACCCCUUCUGUGCCGAAGUCAACACAAUAAGCAUUCCGCCUGGGGAGUACGGCCGCAAGGUUGAAACUCAAAGGAAUUGACGGGGGCCCGCACAAGCAGCGGAGCAUGUGGAUUAAUUCGACGCAACGCGAAGAACCUUACCAGGUCUUGACAUCCAGUAAAGCCUGUAGAGAUACAGAGUCCCUUCGGGGGUACUGAGACAGGUGGUGCAUGGUUGUCGUCAGCUCGUGUCGUGAGAUGUUGGGUUAAGUCCCGCAACGAGCGCAAC
Molecule: ribosomal RNA, 374 nt
Filed under: uncultured bacterium
Lineage: Bacteria
Description: bacterial SSU rRNA
Rfam family: Bacterial small subunit ribosomal RNA
Source: RNAcentral